CCAAAAUCUCUUGAUCAGAAAUUUUGCUACAGUUUCCUGGUCUGCACAUUCAUUGAUGGUGGAAUCAACAACCAUUCCAAUGCUUUCUAAUGUGAUUUAGAGUGGUUUGCAAAGAUGGAAUAUGGGUUCUGAUGAUUUUUCUAUGAGGUUGAUGCACAUUGACUUAAAAGCAAGAAUGGAAGAUCCAAAUGAACAGUCCUUUGAGCUCACCUUUCCCUUUCCCUGUGUGUCUGGAAACAAAAAGGAAGGUUGUUGGUCUUUCCUUGUUUAUUUCCAUCC
This 279-nucleotide unclassified non-coding RNA is filed under the name Hevea brasiliensis (rubber tree). Lineage: Eukaryota; Viridiplantae; Streptophyta; Magnoliopsida; Malpighiales; Euphorbiaceae. The record is from RNAcentral.